Non-coding RNA from Camellia sinensis, 627 nucleotides. NCBI's taxonomy places the organism in Eukaryota, Viridiplantae, Streptophyta, Magnoliopsida, Ericales, Theaceae. The record is from RefSeq and is a predicted model, not a curated record.
GUUGACGGGUAUACACCCUUAGCUUCUCGUUUGGGUGUUUUAGCUCGAGAUGGGAACCUUAUGCCCCUCACUUAUAGAACUUGGAGCCAUGUACCGAAGGAAAACAAAGAGAGAAUUUGGAGAGAAGUAAAGGUCAAUACAAAUGCCGACGAGUCAAUGAAGAAAUUUAUUUUGGCAUCUGUUGGAAAAAAAAUGGAGAGAGUGGAAGGCUAGAGUUAAACAAAUGGGGUAUACGCCAUUCGACAACGAUGCUGAUAGGUUAACUCAUCGACCCAAAAGAGUACAUGAGCAUCAAUGGCGAAGCUUAGUCUAUUAUUGGGGCACUCGGAAGGCACAGGUAUCAUUUAAAUUGUUUAUUGAUCUCUAUCGUAAUCUCAUAAGAUGAGUUUGUUAAUUAAUAAAUUAUCUUGUGUUUGUGUUCAUAUGUAAUAGAAGAACAGUACAAAAAACAAAGAAAUUCGGAAGAAGAAGACAUUAAAUCACAUAACCGGCAGAAAACCAUUCUCAGUUGUUCGAGUAGAGGAAACUAAUAAGAAGAAUGGAGUUCCUGCAACUCGCUUAGAGGUGUGGAUGGCUGGGUACUCGAAGGAUAACAAACCAAGUAUUGAUAAAGUUGCUGCGGUCAUG